Molecule: ribosomal RNA, 532 nt
Filed under: uncultured bacterium
Lineage: Bacteria
Description: bacterial SSU rRNA
Rfam family: Bacterial small subunit ribosomal RNA
Source: RNAcentral
AGGGUUUGAUCAUGGCUCAGGAUAAACGCUGGCGGCAUGCCUAAUACAUGCAAGUCGAACGCUCUCGAAUCUUCGGAUUCAGAGAGAGUGGCGAACGGGUGAGUAACACGUAAGAAACCUGCCCAUAAGACGAGGAUAACCAUUGGAAACGAUGGCUAAUACUGGAUAGCAUAUUUAACCGCAUGGUUUUAUAUCUAAAGGUGCUUUCAAGCAUCGCUUAUGGAUGGUCUUGCGCAGCAUUAGCUAGUUGGUAGGGUAACGACCUACCAAGGCUUCGAUGCUUAGCUGGUCUGAGAGGAUGAACAGCCACACUGGGACUGAGACACGGCCCAGACUCCUACGGGAGGCAGCAGUAGGGAAUUUUCGGCAAUGGGCGCAAGCCUGACCGAGCAAUGCCGCGUGAAUGAUGAAGGCCUUCGGGUCGUAAAAUUCUGUUGACAAGGAAGAACACGUAGAAUAGGAAAUGAUUCUGCGCUGACGGUACUUGUCCAGAAAGCUCCGGCUAACUACGUGCCAGCAGCCGCGGUAAUAC